GACGAACGCUGGCGGCGUGCUUAACACAUGCAAGUCGAGCGGUAAGGCCCUUUCGGGGGUACACGAGCGGCGAACGGGUGAGUAACACGUGGGUGACCUGCCCUCAGCUCUGGGAUAAGCCUGGGAAGCUGGGUCUAAUACCGGAUAUGACUCCAUGACGCAUGUUGUGGGGUGGAAAGCCUUGUGCGGCUGAGGAUGGGCCCGCGGCCUAUCAGCUUGUUGGUGGGGNGAUGGCCUACCAAGGCGACGACGGGUAGCCGGCCUGAGAGGGCGACCGGCCACACUGGGACUGAGACACGGCCCAGACUCCUACGGGAGGCAGCAGUGGGGAAUCUUGCGCAAUGGGCGAAAGCCUGACGCAGCGACGCCGCGUGAGGGAUGACGGCCUGGU
Molecule: ribosomal RNA, 391 nt
Filed under: uncultured bacterium
Lineage: Bacteria
Description: bacterial SSU rRNA
Rfam family: Bacterial small subunit ribosomal RNA
Source: RNAcentral